Molecule: ribosomal RNA, 506 nt
Filed under: uncultured bacterium
Lineage: Bacteria
Description: partial 16S ribosomal RNA
Rfam family: Bacterial small subunit ribosomal RNA
Source: RNAcentral
AGUGAACGCUGGCGGUAGGCCUAACACAUGCAAGUCGAACGGCAGCACAGAGGAGCUUGCUCCUUGGGUGGCGAGUGGCGGACGGGUGAGGAAUACAUCGGAAUCUACUCUGUCGUGGGGGAUAACGUAGGGAAACUUACGCUAAUACCGCAUACGACCUACGGGUGAAAGCAGGGGAUCUUCGGACCUUGCGCGAUUGAAUGAGCCGAUGUCGGAUUAGCUAGUUGGCGGGGUAAAGGCCCAUCAAGGCGACGAUCCGUAGCUGGUCUGAGAGGAUGAUCAGCCACACUGGAACUGGGACACGGUCCAGACUCCUACGGGAGGCAGCAGUGGGGAAUAUUGGACAAUGGGCGCAAGCCUGAUCCAGCCAUACCGCGUGGGUGAAGAAGGCCUUCGGGUUGUAAAGCCCUUUUGUCGGGAAAGAAAUCCAUCUGGUUAAUACCCGGGUGGGAUGACGGUACCCAAAGAAUAAGCACCGGCUAACUUCGUGCCAGCAGCCGCAGUAA